GAUGAAGAACGUAGCGAAAUGCGAUAAGUAGUGUGAAUUGCAGACUUUAGUGAAUCAUCGAAUCUUUGAACGCACAUUGCGCCCUGUGGUAUUCCGCAGGGCAUGCCUGUUCGAGCGUCAUUUCAACCCUCAAGCUCUGCUUGGUGUUGGGCCCUGCCCGCUGCGGCCGGCCCUAAAGACAGUGGCGGUGCCGCCUGGCCCUGAGCGUAGUACAUCUCUCGCUCCAGUGCCCGGUGGUAGCCUGCCAGAACCCCAACUCUCGUGGUUGACCUCGGAUCAGGUAGGGAUACCCGCUGAACUUAAGCAUAUCAAUAAGCGGAGGA
RNAcentral lists this unclassified non-coding RNA (323 nucleotides) under soil metagenome. RNAcentral describes it as "partial contains 5.8S ribosomal RNA, internal transcribed spacer 2, and large subunit ribosomal RNA". The stretch from base 1 to 120 matches the Rfam family "5.8S ribosomal RNA", at positions 35 to 154 of the family's 154-position model. The record is from RNAcentral.